This 69-nucleotide transfer RNA is filed under the name Myotis formosus (Hodgson's bat). RNAcentral describes it as "tRNA-Phe". It matches the Rfam family "tRNA". Rfam says of the family: Transfer RNA (tRNA) molecules are approximately 80 nucleotides in length. Their secondary structure includes four short double-helical elements and three loops (D, anti-codon, and T loops). Lineage: Eukaryota; Metazoa; Chordata; Mammalia; Chiroptera; Vespertilionidae. The record is from RNAcentral.
GUUGAUGUAGCUUAAUCAUUAAAGCAAGGCACUGAAAAUGCCUAGAUGAGUUUUUUUACUCCAUAAACA